UGGGCCCAGCUCGGACUGGUCCGCCGGGCCCAAGGGCUCUGGUGCCUUCUGGAAAGCGCUGGCUGGGACUUCACCCUCCUCCUGCAUGUGACGGACACAGCACUGAUCCUGGCAGCUCCUUACCCCCAGCAGCCCGAAACUCACUCCUUAAUUACACAAGGGAAACCUUUUACCUCCGCAGCCAGAGUCUGGGGGGAAAGGCAGGCGUGGGAAGAUGGGUUCUCUACCUGGCCAGUGCCAUGUUGCCUGUUUCUUUACUGUAACUGUGGUGACAAAGAAAAGGGAAGAUGGAGCCUCCAUGUUGAACAUACCUGGCCCCCAGCACUAACUCCCUCUCUGGAUAUCUGGAACAAGGAGGACCUUAAACUUAACAAUAAAGCCAAUGAUGGUUCUACCAGUCUCCCCAAAGCCUCAAGUUUAAAAGCCAUAUGAACUGGCUGAUAGUGGAAAAUGGAAGCCAUGAGGAAAUCAGAUUAGAGUACUACCUGGUGAAGCCUGGAGGACCUACCAAGAAAAGCAAACUUGGAUCUUUGCAAGGUUAGAAGAACGAAUGGGAUCCAAGAAAAAGACUGGUCAUAUUCAACGGCUAAGAGCGUUGGAGAAGGCCUGUGGAGUCUCAGCAGGUCAGGUCCAUGACUCAUGAGUAGACACCUGUGUUUCUACUGCCUGGUGCCAUAAUCAUAAACAAGGAAGAAACUGAGGACAGGAGGGGCCAAACAAGUUACAGUUUCAUCCCUCCAGAGAGCCAACAGAGUAUUUUGCACGAAGUUGAAGCUAAACAGGUAUUAUGUCCUAUCUCUGGACUGAAUGACUAGAUGCUACUCAGCUUCUGAACUAGAGGAAGCCUGGGACCUUGACCGCACUAAUGCUGAUGACAGCGGAUUUGCAAGUGGCUAGAGAGUAAUCAGCAAAUGCCUUUCCUUUCUCCUGCUGAUGUUUUGCCCGUACUCAGACCCCUUGACUUCUUAGCUUCUACCCAAAGUGAGCUUGUCAUCAAAGUUCUCCAAAAAUCUGCAGUGUUCUCUUGAGCAAAUCUGCUUCCAAGACUAUAGCGCUCUGAUGCAUUGAGAUGACAGCAAGCGGCAUUUUUCAGUCCUGUUACCCAUAUGGCUGCUACCACUGCAUCCUGUUAAAUAAUGUCUUCAACCCAAGAAACCUGCUUCCUAGGGAAGUUUCUCUCUCUCUGCAUUUGUUCCCACUAGAGAAUGACCAUCACCAGAUUCCUGAACUGAAAAUGCUGUUGACACUUUGGAAACUCGGGCCUCUAUUAAUAGGGUGACCAACUAUCCUGGUUUACCUUGAGUACAGGAUUUUCAAUGCUAAAACCAGAAAAACCAGGAUGGUUGGUCAUCUGCCUCAGACCUAAUAAAUACCAGUCAAUAAUUCAGCCAUGAGCUUUCUUAAGACACUGUCUUUUCUUGACUGUUGAAUAGUCUAGGACUUGAGUAGCAGCUCUUUCUGCUACUGGACACUUGUUUUACUACCCUAUUUCUCUAGAUUUUAUUUUGUGGCUAAUAAUUAAGACAUAAAAUCAUGGGUUCUGGUUAUGCCAAAGCACUCACUCUUCAAAAGUUUCCAUCCAGAGUUGGAUAAUCCCACACAGAAGGUGUUCUUUCAACAGACCAGCAUCCAAUAGACCCAAUGCAGCAUUUUUCUUCCUGGUUCCACAUUAAUACAUCCUAUCUCUGCUAUGCUUAGGUCCCUGAUUUAUAAAUAUUUCAGACAUAUUUUCUCAGGACACAGGGAGUACUUAAACUUCCACAUAGCAGAGAUACGACAUACAAUAAGCUGUUAUCUGGAAACUCCUAGUGAUGCUUUGAGUACUUUACAGUAAUCUUUCUGGUCUUCCUCUCAACCCCAUUAAGUUUUUCUGUAACUAGCUGGUGUAUCUGUCUCCAUCUUUAAGGAAUAAGUCCCUAUUUGCUCAUGCUAUAAUCUCCCUCAUGCUCUCCGUCCCUCCUUCCCUCUCCUUCUCUCUUUCUGUCUCUCUCUCUCUCCACCCUGAUUGUGAGAUGCUACACCUUAAUAGUUUUCUAUACCUAGAUCCCUUUUGAAGGAGUAAUUUCAGCCAUCACUGAAAUCUAUGCUUUUUUAUCUUGUUAGAUUUAUUUAGGACCUAAUGACUGUUUCUGAGCUAAUAAUAACGCAAUCAGCUCAUAUUUUUCUGAUACUCUAAGAGCAAUUACAUCUAGUUGCAUCACCUUUUCCUUUUUUAUUCAUGUAUCUUAGGCUUCUCAAGAUAUGAGACUAGCACUUGAGCCUGAGAUAAGCCUUAAGAAUUCCAGGAUAGUCUCUCCAUAGUUCCCUUUCUUGGAUAAAGUCAUUUCAAAACAUCUUAGUGGAUCAGAUUUGGAGCAGCCUACUUACACUGGUGAAUACCACAACUAAUAAAUAAUUGUUCUGCACCCCACCCACAUCUAAAGGAUUCAGGGUGUCUUUUACAGAUAUAGGACUCUCCUUUCUCUGUUUCUCUUCUCUCUCUUCUCCUUGAUUAAAGCUUUGCUUCAGCUGUCCCUGCUCACUACGGCACUGCACCUCACCAGCAUCUUCAUGGCCCUCACAUGGCUCAUGUGCAUAUCCUAACUCUGAUACUAAGGGAGGAGACCACCCCUCAUAUUGUCUUAUGCCCAAUUUCUGCCUCCAAAGAAAGAAGAAGUAAAAACUAAAAGGCAGAAAUGAAAUCCACAAGCAGACAGCCCGGCGCCACACCCUGGGCCUGGUAGUUAAAGAUCGACCCCUGACCUAAUCGGUUAUUUGCAUAAGAAAAGCACUGUGAAGAUCCCUGUCCUGUUCUGUUCCAUUCUAAUUACCGGUGUAUGCAGCCCCCAGUCAUGUACCCCUGCUUGCUCAAUCGAUCACGACCCUCUCACGUGGACCCCCUUAGAGUUGUGGGCCCUUAAAAGGGACAGGAAUUGCUCACUCGGGGAGCUUGGUUGUUGGAGAUGUGAGUCUUGCUAAAGCUCCCAGCCGAAUAAAGCCCUUCCUUCUUAA
This 2991-nucleotide long non-coding RNA is filed under the name Homo sapiens (human). RNAcentral's name for it is "HSALNT0361147". The record is from RNAcentral. Lineage: Eukaryota; Metazoa; Chordata; Mammalia; Primates; Hominidae.